Molecule: small nucleolar RNA, 168 nt
Filed under: Echinops telfairi (small Madagascar hedgehog)
Lineage: Eukaryota; Metazoa; Chordata; Mammalia; Afrosoricida; Tenrecidae
Description: Small nucleolar RNA U3 (ENSETEG00000022612.1)
Rfam family: Small nucleolar RNA U3
About the family: Small nucleolar RNAs (snoRNAs) are involved in the processing and modification of rRNA in the nucleolus. There are two main classes of snoRNAs: the box C/D class, and the box H/ACA class. U3 snoRNA is a member of the box C/D class.
Source: RNAcentral
AAGGCUAUACUUUCAGGGAUCAUUUCUAUAGUUCGUUACGAGAGAAGUUCCUCUGAUCCUGUAGAGCCCCGAAAACCACGAGGAGGAGGUACAGCAUUCUCUCCUGAGCGUGAAGCCUGAACAAAUAAAUAAAUGUAAUUUAAUUUAAAAAAUAAGAAAGUGCAGAUG